UCCACGAAAUUGAAUAUAUCCGAGCCGACGAGAUUGGCCAAUUCUGAAGAGUACUCCUUCGACGACGCUAGCGAGUUCUCCGGCGAAAUUUGACGGCGUUGACGAAUUCUCUGGCUAGUUCUCCGGCGAGAUUUGACGAGGACUACAACCUCAAAUGGUUUUCCGAGUCUAUCACCGUCGUCGAUCAAUCCGUUCAUGAGCUAUGCAGUUUAGUAUCAGACUCCGUUCUGGACCUCUCCCGCGGUUUGCUCGAGCUUCAAUCCGCACUCGAAGGGUUUUUGAUUAUUAUCGGUUACGAACAGAAACAUGGGGAUUGGAAGUUCAAUUCGACCGACAAUCAUCCGUUUGUGAGGAUGCUUUCAUGCAGAGUGGAGACGCAGACGGAGCUUCUUCACCAAGUAUCACUCUUUGUGAUGCGUACUCUGCGAUUGGGGAUGGUGGGAGUAUGUGAAUUUUUGGAGCCGUUCGUGAAUUUUGUAAUAUUAUGUAUCCCAUUUGCAGAUUCAUCCCCGUCUUUGUUUGUGAGGGAGUUAGUCUCAUCAAUGGCUUCCCUUUGUUGCUCAUGCCGUCAUGAAGCCCUGCCGGUAUUCAGAUUGCUUAUGCGGUGUCUUAAGUAUGUCCUAGGGAAGAACUCGGAACUGCAUUGUCAAGACACUAGUGGAUGCUUACAUUGUGGUUGCGAGAGACUUGGUUGGAACUAGAUUGGAAGUAAUAGAAGUGCAUGUGCUUGGUGUUCAACUGGGCUAGCUGUGUGAUGUUGAACAAAGGCAAGCAUACAGUUGAAGUUGUUUCUAUGUUGGUCACUAUCCUUCAGUACCAAGCUUAUCUAUAAGAAACCGUACUCUAAGAAACUACAUUACUGAUGAUGCUUAUCACUGGAAAGAGAAUUUGUAGUUUGCUUGGUCCGUCCAUGAACUGGGUGCGUCCGGUUUUGUCCUAGUUGAACAAUGUGUCUUCUGUAGCUGUCAAACUCAAGGUUUAGGCCUAUUCAUAGUGCCAGUUAUGCACUGGAAUAUGUGGCAUUGGAAUAUUUAGUAGUUAUUGUAUUCAUAUGCUUCUUUAUGAAAGAGUUUUUUGGUGCGUAAUCUAAUAUAUUUUUAGGUUAUGAACCAAUCAUUUUGAUUAUCAGAGAUAUAAUAACG
Molecule: long non-coding RNA, 1142 nt
Organism: Brassica oleracea var. oleracea
Lineage: Eukaryota; Viridiplantae; Streptophyta; Magnoliopsida; Brassicales; Brassicaceae
Exons: 5
Source: RefSeq, a predicted model, not a curated record